UUUGAUAUUAUGAAUUUUGAUAUAUUUCUUUACAUUUUUAUUAAAUUUAAUACACCUUAUAUUUUGAAACAAAGUGAUUUUUUUUACAAAAUCCAAUAACACCUACGGCGCAGCGAAACGCGCCCAAACCUUCUAUUCUAAUAUUAUUUGCAAUGGAGAGUCUCAACUCUGAAACAGAAAGAUAAAAAUUUUCAACAUAUCCAAAAUAAGUGCCUUGAAUCUAUCCGUUGAUCCAAAAUAAAUUGAAAUAGAAAGAUAAAAAUAGGAAGAUUAACCCUGGUUUAUCGUACUAUUUAUGGGCAAGAACAAUGCAUUGGGAAAAAUACUGAAACAAAAGCCGACGCAAGCAGCUCUCCCGGUCACUAAGAGGUUGGAUACAAGCAUCGUGCGCCCUGCCUGCUGCUUAUCACAGCUGCCGUGCGCCCUCCUACCUGCUUGUUGCCGGAUUGGAAUUAGGGAUGCAACUAGCUGCGGUGCCAAUUCCUUGAUCGAUCAACUUCGGUUCUGCUUUGUGCGAGGUAUCGGGCUAUGGUGAAUCCUAGUUAUCGCUUUAGGCGGCGUCCGUUACCGAGUAUUUUACAAACGGGUGCCCAGCGUUGGGCCGACCAUGUAGAUUUUUCCCAUGUUUUCAAACCGCAAAAAUUGAAUGCGCUGGUCGAGAUUCGAACCGACAAUCUCCGUCAAUUCAAUAUACAUUAUAUUGGUACAUCCACCCCGCCACUACAACUUUCUCUUUCUUUUAUUAAUUUUUCUUUUUUACUUUUGUCUAUGGUUUUCCUCUUUCCUUUUCUUGUUUUCGUUAUCUUAUUUUUUAUUUUCUUUCUUCCUCCUGAUUGUGAACUUUUUCUUCAAAUUGAU
Molecule: long non-coding RNA, 858 nt
Filed under: Hordeum vulgare
Lineage: Eukaryota; Viridiplantae; Streptophyta; Magnoliopsida; Poales; Poaceae
Description: long non-coding RNA (HVUL_LNC014646)
Source: RNAcentral